UCAGUUCAGAUUGCAGGCUGCAACCCGCCUGCAUGAAGUCGGAAUUGCUAGUAAUCGCGGAUCAGCAUGCCGCGGUGAAUACGUUCCCGGGCCUUGUACACACCGCCCGUCAAACCAUGAGAGUCGCCAACACCCGAAGUCCGCUUUGCGGCCUAAGGUGGGGGAGAUGAUUGGGGUUAAGUCGUAACAAGGUAAC
RNAcentral lists this ribosomal RNA (196 nucleotides) under uncultured bacterium. Its description in RNAcentral is "partial 16S ribosomal RNA". It matches the Rfam family "Bacterial small subunit ribosomal RNA", at positions 1288 to 1500 of the family's 1533-position model. The record is from RNAcentral.